UUUAAAUAAAAAAACAUGUUAAUUAAAAUAAAAGCAAAUACCUGAAGAGCAGCAGUAAAAUAAAAUAACAGAAGGGAGGCUAUGUACAUUAUGGACCAUAACCGUGAACCAAUCGUCUUAAUACAUUCAUUUUAGGAGAAGGGGGAUUCUACUUUAUAUUCAAAAACAUAUAGUUUACCCAAUAUACGUUUUACAUUUUUAAAUGAAGUGGGUAAAGUUGGCAAUCAUUUUACAAGCAAAACAACACGGUCAGGAGUAGAAGAUUCCUUUCCAAAAGUUCCAAGCGGUCAAAACCGUAUGUUUUUGUGACAAGGGUGUCACCAAAGCUGUGUUGUAUUUAUUAGGUAAGUCAUAGUUUAUUUUCAAAGAUGCAUUACAAGGUAAAAAAAAAUAAAAAAAAUCACAAUCAUGACAAUUAAUCAUUACCCCAAAUUCCAUAAUGCUCACAGCCCUUCCUGAUACAUUUAUUUUAAGUAAAUCAGGGAAGCGUCAGAAGUAAGUAGUGUAUAUUGUUGCGGCCUUAACCCCAAUACCAGGAAUGGGAAUAUAUAGGGACAGUAGUGGAGUUAGUGACUGACAGAUCUGCUUAGAGGGCUCGAGGUCUGCUUAGAGCAACGAUUUUCACAUUUGGGUCGUGGGAGGUUUUGAAUGGGUCGUGGGUGACGGAGUAAAAAAAACAAACAUUUGGAAGUAAAAUGUUUCUAAAUAUUGUGUAUAGACACAUUUAUAACUAUCAUGAAUGGAACAAAAGUAAUUUGACAAUCCACAUUCUAGCCUCGGAAAUCCCAGACCUAUUCUGGAACAUUGUUACAUUUGUUGUAGGCAACCCGUCUGCCUGUAGGGAGACUAUCCACACUCCAUUUUCAUCUGUUUUCAGAUCAGUUACCUAGUCUCACCUAUAGGCCUUUGUAGUAGUACUAUAUUUUUAGGUGUGCAUGCAAAGCAAUGCACACCUCUAGGUUUCUUACAAACUCAUAUUAUUUUUAUUGUUAUUUGAUUUAUUUGGCUCGCUCUAGCGCUUAAACAAUUGAAGUUAUUAACACGAAACCAACUUCCAAAUGUGCAGACUGCCCCAACUCGGGUUGCUUGAGAAAAUAUGUUUGAUGGCAUUUAUACUUUUUGAACUAUAUAACAAUAUUGUAAAUCUGCUCCGAUGCAUGUCAAUGGGGGGGAAACGGGCCGUAGACUUGAAUGCUAAAAAGAUUAUUGCAAUUUGUACACAUAUCUCCUCUUUCACCGUUUAUGUUAUCAACUGCCCCAAAUGAGGUCGCUUGAGCGUUUCUUUCAGAUAGCAUUUAUACUUCUUGUACUACAACAAUAUUUAAAUGAGCUCCCAAUGCAUUUUAAUGGCAAUAAAAAUGCCAUAGACUUACAUGGGGGGAAUGUUGAAAUGUAGCUCCUCCUACACCAUUAAGCUGUCAAUUUAUACUUUUCAUACUAUAAGCAUCUAAUUUGCAUACAUUAACAUGGGUUUGAAAUAGAACCACAGUAAUACAGUGGUAGCUAUUUAAAAUGGUCCUGCUCCUUGGCCAGUUAAGCUAUAAGACCAACAGUUAAACAUUCAUGCUAUCCUAACUUCAAAUUCUUUAAGAUCUUAAUCAGUUAGGAUAGCAUGAAUGUUUAAACGUUUGUCUUAUAGCUUAAUUGGCCAAGGAGCAGGACCAUUUUAAAUAGCUACCACUGUAUUACUGUGGUUCUAUUUCAAACCCAUGUUAAUGUCUGCAAAUUAUAAUUAUAUAAAUUAACUAUGAUUAUAUACAUUUGCAUAAAAUAAAUCACCAACAGUAACUCUUGAACUGUUCAAGUUAGACACCAAACCAGCUUUCUCAUGUUCAGGCUAUCCUAUACAUUUGCAUAAAACAACAAAUUAUAUAAAUUAACUAUGAUUAUUUACAUUUGCAUAAAAUAAAUCACCAACAGUAACCCUUGAACUGUUCAAGCUACAUUCACCAAACCAAUUUUCAGUAUGUAGGUUAAUGUGUUCUUGGGAAGCCUAACAUGUUGUACAGGUCUGAUAGUAAUAUGCCUAUGGAGGUAAGACAGGGUGUACUGUAUGUCUUAUAGUAAUAUGCCUAUGUAGGUAAGACAGGGUGUACUGUAUGUCUGAUAGUAAUAUGCCUAUGUAGGUAAGACAGGGUGUACUGUAUGUCUUAUAGUAGUAUGCCUAUGUAGGUAAGACAGGGUGUACUGUAUGUCUUAUAGUAAUAUGCCUAUGUUUGGUAAGACAGGGUGUACUGUAUGUCUGAUAGUAAUAUGCCUAUGUAGGUAAGACAGGGUGUACUGUAUGUCUUAUAGUAAUAUGCCUAUGUUUGGUAAGACAGGGUGUACUGUAUGUCUGAUAGGCAUAUUACUAUGAAGGUAAGACAGGGUGUACUGUAUGUCUUAUAGUAAUAUGCCUAUGAAGGUAAGACAGGGUGUACUGUAUGUCUGAUAGUAAUAUGCCUAUGAAGGUAAGACUGGGUGUACUGUAUGUCUUAUAGUAAUAUGCCUAUGUAGGUAAGACAGGGUGUACUGUAUGUCUUAUAGUAAUAUGCCUAUGUAGGUAAGACAGGGUGUACUGUAUGUCUUAUAGUAAUAUGCCUAUGUAGGUAAGACAGGGUGUACUGUAUGUCUUAUAGUAAAAUGCCGGUGUAGGUAAGACAGGUGAAUUGUGCUGAAUUGUAAGCAAUGAGCUACUUACUGCGAGAGUGUCUGGGAAAUAAUUGUACUUUAUUCUUCUUUCCAGUUUUAACUGUUGUUGUAUUUAUCAGGAACAUAUUUGCUAUUUUCGGGUUAGAAUGAAUGGGGACGUAAAUUUCCCUAUUCUGUUACAUUUAUAUGCUUGUGAUAUACUUUUAUGUGAUUACCUUUACAUUUUAACGCAUAUCUACGGUGAUACACCUUGAAUAUAGCCCUAAGAGUCUGUCACUUUAAACAGGCAGGUUUGUACUCCUAAGGUAACUCAAUUAAUCUUUUAACGUUGACGUGUUUUGACAUUAACUCAGGGAGACCCCUGCUGGAGAAAUACUGCAACUUGAUCAUUUAUUUUCACAAAUAAUAAAGAUGUUAUUGCAUUGCUAAA
This is a long non-coding RNA of Coregonus clupeaformis (lake whitefish), 3061 nucleotides long. RefSeq lists it as uncharacterized. The record is from RefSeq and is a predicted model, not a curated record. The transcript is spliced from 2 exons. NCBI's taxonomy places the organism in Eukaryota, Metazoa, Chordata, Actinopteri, Salmoniformes, Salmonidae.